CCUACGUGAGGCUGCAGUGGGGGAUAUUGCACAAUGGUGGGAACCCUGAUGCAGCGACGCCGCGUGGGUGAAGGAGCGUUUCGGCGCGUAAAGCCCUAUCGGCAGGGAAGAAGAUGACGGUACCUGACCAAGCAGCACCGGCUAACUCCGUGCCAGCAGCCGCGGUAAUACGGAGGGUGCGAGCGUUAAUCGGAAUUACUGGGCGUAAAGCGCUCGUAGGCGGUAUGUCAAGUCAAGGGUGAACUCCCCGCGAUCAACGUGGGAACUGCCUUUGAAACUGGCAAACUGGAGUGUGUGAGAGGAUAGUGGAAUUCCAGGUGUAGGAGUGAAAGCCGUAGAUAUCUGGAGGAACAUCAGUGGCGAAGGCGACUAUCUGGCACAUAACUGACGCUGAGGAGCGAAAGCGUGGGUAGCAAACAGGAUUAGAUACCCGUGUAGUC
RNAcentral lists this ribosomal RNA (440 nucleotides) under uncultured bacterium. RNAcentral's name for it is "partial 16S ribosomal RNA". It matches the Rfam family "Bacterial small subunit ribosomal RNA", at positions 338 to 795 of the family's 1533-position model. The record is from RNAcentral.